Ornithorhynchus anatinus (platypus) is the source of this 72-nucleotide non-coding RNA. NCBI's taxonomy places the organism in Eukaryota, Metazoa, Chordata, Mammalia, Monotremata, Ornithorhynchidae. The record is from Rfam.
AGCAGCGUGGCUCAGUGGAAAGAGCCCGGGCUUGGGAGUCGGAGUUCACGGGUUCGAAUCCCGGCUCUGCCC